UACGUAGGUGGCAAGCGUUGUCCGGAUUUACUGGGCGUAAAGAGCGCGCAGGCGGUCGUUCAAGUCGCGUGUGAAAGCCCCCGGCUCAACUGGGGAGGGUCACGCGAUACUGAUCGACUCGAAGGCAGGAGAGGGUAGUGGAAUUCCCGGUGUAGUGGUGAAAUGCGUAGAUAUCGGGAGGAACACCAGUGGCGAAGGCGGCACUCUGGGCCGAUACUGACACUGAGGAGCGAAAGCGUGGGGAGCGAACAGG
RNAcentral lists this ribosomal RNA (253 nucleotides) under uncultured bacterium. Its description in RNAcentral is "partial 16S ribosomal RNA". It matches the Rfam family "Bacterial small subunit ribosomal RNA", at positions 524 to 776 of the family's 1533-position model. The record is from RNAcentral.